This 492-nucleotide ribosomal RNA is filed under the name uncultured bacterium. RNAcentral's name for it is "partial 16S ribosomal RNA". It matches the Rfam family "Bacterial small subunit ribosomal RNA", at positions 29 to 507 of the family's 1533-position model. The record is from RNAcentral.
AGUGAACGCUGGCGGUAGGCCUAACACAUGCAAGUCGAACGGCAGCACAGUAAGAGCUUGCUCUUACGGGUGGCGAGUGGCGGACGGGUGAGGAAUACAUCGGAAUCUACUUUUUCGUGGGGGAUAACGUAGGGAAACUUACGCUAAUACCGCAUACGACCUACGGGUGAAAGCAGGGGAUCUUUGGACCUUGCGCGAUUGAAUGAGCCGAUGUCGGAUUAGCUAGUUGGCGGGGUAAAGGCCCACCAAGGCGACGAUCCGUAGCUGGUCUGAGAGGAUGAUCAGCCACACUGGAACUGGGACACGGUCCAGACUCCUACGGGAGGCAGCAGUGGGGAAUAUUGGACAAUGGGCGCAAGCCUGAUCCAGCCAUACCGCGUGGGUGAAGAAGGCCUUCGGGUUGUAAAGCCCUUUUGUUGGGAAAGAAAAGCAGCAGGUUAAUACCCCGCUGUUCUGACGGUACCCAAAGAAUAAGCACCGGCUAACUUCGUG